AAAUCCUUGCUCUCAGUCCACAGAAUAGACUCAUCAAGAACAUCUGGAUUAUAAGGUAUCAGCUGCACAGGGUGUGUGGCUCCAAUGGAAUGCUUCAUGGCCUCACCAGUGGCUUUGUUAACCAAAGCAAAGCAAGGACAGCCGUCCUCGUCCUUUACUCUUGUGCUAUACUUCUCAUCCUUGUACCAGUUUUGGAACUCAUCAGAUGGAUCCGAUGGUGCUAGAAUCACUUUGCCGUCCCUGAUCGUGAGAAAAAAAUUAGGCUCAGCCUUGCAAUAAACCUUAUAGGAAGGCUUA
Molecule: unclassified non-coding RNA, 297 nt
Filed under: Hevea brasiliensis (rubber tree)
Lineage: Eukaryota; Viridiplantae; Streptophyta; Magnoliopsida; Malpighiales; Euphorbiaceae
Source: RNAcentral